AAAAGGGAAAUGUCUCCCAGCAGCCUCAGGAGCAGCGGAUUAAAUCUCCACAAUCAACUUGAUGUACCUGCAUCUGUGGAAUACCGGAAUAGACAACGAAUCAUCCCAAAAUUCAGGCGGUGGACUUUGGGAGCAACUGUAGACUUGGGGGUUCCCCCAUGUCCAAACCCAACCCAAAGCCAGAAGACCUGCAAUCUCAUUGAUGUGAUCCACAAAAGAAUGGAAUGUGUGUCUGCAGGGACAAGCUUGAAAUCUUUUCUUUUGUGGUUCCUGAGAAGUUUUCAUGUCAAAGACUUAUAAAAUGAGUCGAAGAGUGAACACUUUUGCUAUUGUCCGGAAGUGAUUGUGUAAGAUCGGAAUUCUUUGUUCUUGGAAUGCUUGGUGGAAGAGCUGUUAAAGCUUCUGGAGACUGGAGGAUGCUUUGUGGGAAGGUUUUCCAUUACUCACUCAAUUUUUUUAAACAGUUUGAGGAUUUUAAAAAAUUUUUUUCUUGCAAUCCGGAAGGCCUAAGCCAAAGUGACCCACUUCGGAGACUAUCAGAGCAUCCGGGGUCCUUGGAGUCUUAACAUCUAAUUUUGGAGACAGAAAGCAGAAGCCUAGGUUGGCGACAGCAGGCGUCCUACCUGCCCCCUCCCACCUCCAGGACACCGCAGAACCGGAAUAAAGCCUAAACCCUACUGCAAAUCCAGGGCCUUUUCUUUGACCCCAGCUGAUCGCCCCAAACCCUGCAGGUUGGGGGCCAUAUCCAGGACCUGUCACUCUGGCCCCCCUCAGUCAGCAAAGACGUGUCCCCAACAUGCAGAAUCAACCUCAAAAUCUCGAGCCACAUGUCCCUGGUCCCACCCCCUCACGGGAUGGCGGGCAGGAACACUGGACCUGGGGUGGAGAAGACCCACUUCUACCUCUUAGCUUUCCUUCCCCUGCAGCAUUCAAGCUGAGAAAAGCCUGACAUCUCAAAUGGUUUUUCUCUGUGACGUUAUUUCUAGAUGCACUCUGUGACCUGUUCACCUGAUGUUUCCCAUUUAACCAUUAAGAAGAUCCCCUUGCAGAGGCUGAAGAGCUAUGGAAGCACCAGUAGCCAGUGUCCGUAGGCAGCUGUCCUGGAGGUAGAAAAACCCUGCUCCCCUCCACCCUCCCCACCUCAUCUCACCCCUUCUCUUUCUUCCAUCCCCCCCAUCCUAAGUUCUGCCCCACAAGACAGACAUAGACUAAUUUGAGAUGUCAUACUCAGGGGAUAAGAUCCAAGCAGACUAUGUAAUCCAAAGCCUCCUAUUAUUACAUCAGGGACAGGCCCAGAGAGGGCCGGUAACCUCCCACAUCCUCCUCGCUGAAUGGGUGCCAGCUCACACUUGGGUGGUUGCUUUCUGGAUGCCAGGCCAGCUUCUCCCAGGGCGCGGCAAGAACAGCAACUACCCCCAGAGGGCCUCUCCUUUCCACAUCCCUCUGACAUCCUGUCCCAGGGCAGCCCCUCACCUGCAGCAGGUGGGCCUGGUCAUCCCUAAUGAGUCAUCCCUUGGAUAAAACCCUCCAACAUUUCACCUAACCCUGCCAGCCCACCUUCAUCCACAGCUUCAGAACCGAACUGGCCAAGGACAUUGGUGCCAACCCAAAGGAGAAAUGGGUCCGGAAUUAUAUGAAACACCUGGGUCAGAAACCUCACACCCUGAAGACUUGGACUCUUUCGGCCACACUAAGACCGAACCAGAGGCUGAGAAAUGAUUAUUCUCCCCCAGCCUUCCUGUCUCUAUCCUCGACUAAAUUGACCUGAAUUUUCAGAUAGGGUGCUUUCUGUUUCCUGAUGCAAAAUGUACUAUGUCUUAAGUAAUAUUGAGUAUUAUUUGAAUUGUGGCUGGUUGGGGAGUUAUUCUGAAUAUUGGUGAUCUCUUUUUUUAAAGCAGGGCCUUGAGCCACUUGGCUCCUGUCGUGAGCCCCAGCUCCUUCUCCUGUAAGCUGUGGACAGUGGGUCUUUCUCCUGCCUAACUCCCCAGGGGUAAUGAGCAUGCCUAUGAGAGCCACAACGAUGAAGGGCUACUGCAAUCUAGGGAGGACAGCGCCUGGUGAAUGUGAGGUGUUGCUAAAUGUGUUAUUAUGGAAACAUGAAUGCAAUUGUAGGAUGGCUGUCUUUUUGCAGAAAAUACAUUUUGCUUAAAAUCUCU
This is a long non-coding RNA of Balaenoptera musculus (blue whale), 2156 nucleotides long. The record is from Ensembl. Lineage: Eukaryota; Metazoa; Chordata; Mammalia; Artiodactyla; Balaenopteridae.